This is a long non-coding RNA of Pseudopipra pipra, 869 nucleotides long. RefSeq lists it as uncharacterized. Lineage: Eukaryota; Metazoa; Chordata; Aves; Passeriformes; Pipridae. The record is from RefSeq and is a predicted model, not a curated record. The transcript is spliced from 2 exons.
GUUGAAAUGAGGGGCCCAGAACUGGACACAGCCCUCGAGAUGUGGCCUCACCAGUACCCAGCAUCGGAGGACAAUCCCUGCCCUGGUCCUGCUGCCGCUCUAUUUUUGCUACAGACUCCUGAAGAAGCAGCUAAAACACAUCCUCUGUUAAUUACCGCUCUCCAGAAGACGCAUUUUCACACCAUGACUACAGAAACCAGGGCGCACACACAAAGGCAAAAAAUAUUCGUUCCUCUGGGCCAAAAGCUGCUUUCAGUUACACCCAAGAAACCACAUGAAAGCCUCGUGCCUGUGGAGGUGCCAAGGCCUCCUCAAAGCACCGCGUCCCAUUCGCUGCCGCUGACAUCAGCGAGCACGGCAGGCACCCACAGCUCCCCGGGGCAGCCCAGCACUUGCCAGAUCAAGGAAUCAUGGAAUCAGUGCUGCUGGAAAAGGCCUCUAAGAUGAAGAAGCGACGCUCUGGAACGGCAACACGCACAUGUUGAAUUCUGCACCCGUGGGUGCACCCUGCAGAUGUUGUUUCUGGGCAGUGAUGCUGUUAAUGGAAGCGGGCGGCGGAGGAGCGGAACCGGGGUGGGAACGGCUGGAAAAACAGCUGAGCACCUCUCUGCGUCCUGACCCGGCACCACGCGGCUCCUUCAGACCCUGGCGCCUCUGGAGACGAGGCUGCAAACAUGCUCCGUCCUGCCAAACCCCAGGACGAGCCUAAAAUAUGCUCCGAGCAGGAUCUCCGGCAAAGAGGGAUCGCGCUGACCCAUCGCUCCAUCUAGUGACAGCACAUCCUACAACACCCAGAUCCCCCGCGCCCAUCCCUUUGCUUCCAAGGCACCCUAAAUAAACACUCUUUACACAGUGCAUCUCCACCAUCA